This 429-nucleotide ribosomal RNA is filed under the name Chloroflexota bacterium. RNAcentral describes it as "Chloroflexi bacterium partial 16S ribosomal RNA". It matches the Rfam family "Bacterial small subunit ribosomal RNA", at positions 355 to 776 of the family's 1533-position model. The record is from RNAcentral. Lineage: Bacteria; Bacillati; Chloroflexota.
UGGGGAAUAUUGCACAAUGGGCGCAAGCCUGAUGCAGCCAUGCCGCGUGUGUGAAGAAGGCCUUCGGGUUGUAAAGCACUUUCAGCGGGGAGGAAGGCGAUAAGGUUAAUAACCUCAUCGAUUGACGUUACCCGCAGAAGAAGCACCGGCUAACUCCGUGCCAGCAGCCGCGGUAAUACGGAGGGUGCAAGCGUUAAUCGGAAUUACUGGGCGUAAAGCGCACGCAGGCGGUCUGUCAAGUCGGAUGUGAAAUCCCCGGGCUCAACCUGGGAACUGCAUUCGAAACUGGCAGGCUAGAGUCUUGUAGAGGGGGGUAGAAUUCCAGGUGUAGCGGUGAAAUGCGUAGAGAUCUGGAGGAAUACCGGUGGCGAAGGCGGCCCCCUGGACAAAGACUGACGCUCAGGUGCGAAAGCGUGGGGAGCAAACCGG